AUUGAACGCUGGCGGCAUGCUUUACACAUGCAAGUCGAACGGUAACAGGUUAAGCUGACGAGUGGCGAACGGGUGAGUAAUGCAUCGGAACGUGCCCGGUCGUGGGGGAUAACGCAGCGAAAGCUGCGCUAAUACCGCAUACGAUCUGAGGAUGAAAGCGGGGGACCGUAAGGCCUCGCGCGAUCGGAGCGGCCGAUGUCGGAUUAGGUAGUUGGUGGGGUAAAGGCUCACCAAGCCAACGAUCUGUAGCUGGUCUGAGAGGACGACCCGCCACACUGGGACUGAGAAACGGCCCAGGCUCCUACGGGAGGCAGCAGUGGAGCAUUUUGGACAAUGGGCGAAAGCCUGAUCCAGCAAUGCCGCGGGCAGGAAGAAGGCCUUCGGGUUGUAAACUGCUUUUGUACGGAGCGAAAAGGUCUCCUCUAAUACAGGGGGCUCAUGACGGUACCGUAAGAAUAAGCACCGUCUAACUACGUGCCAGCCGCCGCCGUAA
This 493-nucleotide ribosomal RNA is filed under the name uncultured bacterium. RNAcentral describes it as "partial 16S ribosomal RNA". It matches the Rfam family "Bacterial small subunit ribosomal RNA", at positions 29 to 523 of the family's 1533-position model. The record is from RNAcentral.